Long non-coding RNA from Spea bombifrons (plains spadefoot toad), 417 nucleotides. RefSeq lists it as uncharacterized. The record is from RefSeq and is a predicted model, not a curated record. NCBI's taxonomy places the organism in Eukaryota, Metazoa, Chordata, Amphibia, Anura, Pelobatidae. The transcript has 2 exons.
UUGGAAUCUAACCUCUGCCACCUAGAGUAGUAUAGACCACUGGUGGUAAGAAUGACAACUAGCGUUGGCCUGCCCUGACCAAUGGAAACCCUGUUAAGAUCCUUAAACAUAUUUAAAGUUUUACAAACCUUUUUAACCUUUCAUUAUUAAAUUGGCUGCCAAUCAUAUAAGCCAUGAGUGAUUUAUAAUGCUUGUUUACUUCUGUGUCUUGCAGAACUAAGGUGCAUCAAGAACUUCUGGAGAGUUGAAAAUAUCCCAUUUCAACAUCUUUGCAUUAUGAAGGGCCAGCACCAAUCCCAUUCCUCUGUUUCAAGUGAAAUGUCAUCCAUCACAGUGGCUUAAUUUGGAGAAAAGAUUAAAGUACCACACUUUAAAAGCUUCCUGUGACAGCCUUGCAUAUUUUUUUAAAAAUUAAAA